GUAAUAAAGAGCUUGUUGAGCGGCUUAAUUUCGACUUAAGUGAAG
This 45-nucleotide transfer RNA is filed under the name Habronattus oregonensis. Its description in RNAcentral is "tRNA-Arg". Lineage: Eukaryota; Metazoa; Arthropoda; Arachnida; Araneae; Salticidae. The record is from RNAcentral.